Molecule: ribosomal RNA, 496 nt
Filed under: uncultured bacterium
Lineage: Bacteria
Description: partial 16S ribosomal RNA
Rfam family: Bacterial small subunit ribosomal RNA
Source: RNAcentral
AUGAACGCUGGCGGCGUGCCUAAUACAUGCAAGUCGAGCGAACAGAUGAGGAGCUUGCUCCUCUGACGUUAGCGGCGGACGGGUGAGUAACACGUGGAUAACCUACCUAUAAGACUGGGAUAACUUCGGGAAACCGGAGCUAAUACCGGAUAAUAUAUUGAACCGCAUGGUUCAAUAGUGAAAGACGGUUUUGCUGUCACUUAUAGAUGGAUCCGCGCCGCAUUAGCUAGUUGGUAAGGUAACGGCUUACCAAGGCAACGAUGCGUAGCCGACCUGAGAGGGUGAUCCGCCACCCUGGAACUGGAACACGGUCCCGACUCCUACGGGAGGCAGCAGUAGGGAAUCCUCCGCAAUGGGCGAAAGCCUGACGGAGCCACCCCGCGUGAGUGAUGAAGGUCUUCGGAUCGUAAAACUCUGUUAUUAGGGAAGAACAAAUGUGUAAGUAACUAUGCACGUCUUGACGGUACCUAAUCAGAAAGCCACGGCUAACUACGUG